This 752-nucleotide long non-coding RNA is filed under the name Homo sapiens (human). Its description in RNAcentral is "long non-coding RNA NONHSAT179690.1". Lineage: Eukaryota; Metazoa; Chordata; Mammalia; Primates; Hominidae. The record is from RNAcentral.
GGCCUCGCUCCAUUCCCCACUUUUAACGGUCACUCGGCCUUAAGCCGUCCUGGGUGUAUGUGAGGCUGAAAGGGAAGGAGGAACAGGGUCUGGGCCGCUGUGUGCUCUGCCGUCAUCUCUAAGAAACAACCAUACCACUGAAUGCUACUGUGUACUUACAAACCACACUCAUAUUCGUCACGUCAUUUCAUCUUCACCCCCACCUCCAAAUGAGGCUUGAAAUGAGAUGAGAUGUUCCUCCCUCCCCUUUCAACCAUGGACCUCACACUGUGGACUUCCUCUUAGAGCCUCUGAGUUAGGUACCCAAGCCAAGGCACAAUGUCCCUGCCCCCCAUAAGACUGCCCAGCCCCUAUGGCUCUGAUCGGCUGGUACAGCUAGCAGCCAGGCUCCGGCCAGCACUCUGUGAUACUCUGAUCACCGUAGGGAGCCAGGAGUUCCCCGCCCACAGCCUGGUGCUAGCAGGUGUCAGCCAGCAGCUGGGCCGCAGGGGCCAGUGGGCUCUGGGAGAAGGCAUCAGCCCUUCUACCUUUGCCCAGCUCCUGAACUUUGUGUAUGGGGAGAGUGUAGAGCUGCAGCCUGGAGAGCUAAGGCCCCUUCAGGAGGCGGCCAGGGCCUUGGGAGUGCAGUCCCUGGAAGAGGCAUGCUGGAGGGCUCGAGGGGACAGGGCUAAAAAGCCAGAUCCAGGCCUGAAGAAACAUCAGGAGGAGCCAGAGAAACCCUCAAGGAAUCCUGAGAGAGAACUGGGGGACCC